RNAcentral lists this ribosomal RNA (336 nucleotides) under uncultured bacterium. RNAcentral's name for it is "bacterial SSU rRNA". It matches the Rfam family "Bacterial small subunit ribosomal RNA", at positions 72 to 422 of the family's 1533-position model. The record is from RNAcentral.
AAGUGGAGCAAUCCAUGAGUAAAGUGGCGCACGGGUGAGUAACACGUGACUAACCUACCCUGGAGUGGGGGAUAACUGAGGGAAACCUUAGCUAAUACCGCAUAAUACCUACGGGUCAAAGGAGCAAUUCGCUCUGGGAGGGGGUCGCGGCCGAUUAGUUAGUUGGCGGGGUAAUGGCCCACCAAGACGAUGAUCGGUAUCCGGCCUGAGAGGGCGCACGGACACACUGGAACUGAAACACGGUCCAGACUCCUACGGGAGGCAGCAGUGGGGAAUUUUGCGCAAUGGGGGAAACCCUGACGCAGCAACGCCGCGUGGAGGAUGAAGUCCUUCGGG